AUUGAACGCUGGCGGCAGGCCUAACACAUGCAAGUCGAACGGUAACAGGAAACAGCUUGCUGUUUCGCUGACGAGUGGCGGACGGGUGAGUAAUGUCUGGGAAACUGCCUGAUGGAGGGGGAUAACUACUGGAAACGGUAGCUAAUACCGCAUAACGUCGCAAGACCAAAGAGGGGGACCUUCGGGCCUCUUGCCAUCGGAUGUGCCCAGAUGGGAUUAGCUAGUAGGUGGGGUAACGGCUCACCUAGGCGACGAUCCCUAGCUGGUCUGAGAGGAUGACCAGCCACACUGGAACUGAGACACGGUCCAGACGCCUACGGGAGGCAGCAGUGGGGAAUAUUGCACAAUGGGCGCAAGCCUGAUGCAGCCAUGCCGCGUGUAUGAAGAAGGCCUUCGGGUUGUAAAGUACUUUCAGCGGGGAGGAAGGGAGUAAAGUUAAUACCUUUACUCAUUGACGUUACCCGCAGAAGAAGCACCGGCUAACUCCGUG
This 490-nucleotide ribosomal RNA is filed under the name uncultured bacterium. RNAcentral describes it as "partial 16S ribosomal RNA". It matches the Rfam family "Bacterial small subunit ribosomal RNA", at positions 30 to 507 of the family's 1533-position model. The record is from RNAcentral.